CGUUCGAUCCUAUUUUGUUGGUUUCUAGGAUUGACGUAAUGAUUAAUAGGGAUAGUUGGGGGCAUUAGUAUUCAAUUGUCAGAGGUGAAAUUCUUGGAUUUAUUGAAGACUAACUACUGCGAAAGCAUUUGCCUAAGGAUGCUUUCAUUAAUCAAGAACGAAAGUUAGGGGAUCGAAGACGAUCAGAUACCGUCGUAGUCUUAACCAUAAACUAUGCCGACUAGGGAUCGGAUGAUGUUAAUUUUUUAAUGACUCAUUCGGCGCCUUACGGGAAACCAAAGUGUUUGGGUUCCGGGGGGAGUAUGGUCGCAAGGCUGAAACUUAAAGGAAUUGACGGAAGGGCACCACCAGGGGUGGAGCCUGCGGCUUAAUUUGACUCAACACGG
Molecule: ribosomal RNA, 386 nt
Filed under: uncultured fungus
Lineage: Eukaryota; Fungi
Description: SSU rRNA
Rfam family: Eukaryotic small subunit ribosomal RNA
Source: RNAcentral